CUUCAGAUACGUGGCAAGAUUAAACUGUAAACUGAUUUUUACUCUUCAGUUAAUGCUACAUUACAGUGACUAUCCUACUGACCUUCAUCUGGCUCAAGCACUAGAGAAUUAAGCUAUAACAACUGCAAAAAGGAUUGGAGCAAGAAAAUGUGAGCUAUUCCUCCCCCUCUUUCCUGCCAGCCUUGAGCUGGGCCACCUUCCUCCACCUUUCCUCAUCAUCUCUGUCAAAUUUCCAUGACUUGGGAAAGAUUAAAAAAAAAAAAAAAAAAGUCUGUAAAGGGCAGUGGUCAAUCCUGAGAACAAAAGAUAUCUCCCUCAUAUGCACCAGACUUCCCAGUUCUCCCAGUGAUAACUGCAACAGCA
RNAcentral lists this long non-coding RNA (363 nucleotides) under Gallus gallus (chicken). RNAcentral's name for it is "lncRNA (ENSGALG00010017090.1)". Lineage: Eukaryota; Metazoa; Chordata; Aves; Galliformes; Phasianidae. The record is from RNAcentral.